UGACAUCUGAAGAGUUUGGGAAGGGAUUGGAUUUUACUUUGUGGAGUAAGAUAAACCUUUUUUUGCAAGGAUCUUCUCCAUCUGGAACUGGCUACUGCUCUCCUUGGCUCCGUUGAAGGCAAUUUGGAUUUACCACAAAUAGAUGAGUACUCUAAUUUGGAGACUGAAAGAUGGUUUAUCCAGGCUCUGAAACACUGACACCUUGAGAGCUUGGGAUCUGAAUCCUAGACCUCAAACCAAGCUUCACAGCCAGACUUGGGCUAUGGGACGGAGGAGCACAGAACCAUUGAUGAAGAUCUACCGGAACUAGGAUUGAAGAUAAAGAUGUCACUGGAAUCAGAAUAUAGUGUUUACAUGUAAAAGGUGGUGCCAGCCCAUCCUCAAGUUAACAAGAUACAGCUGCUGCUGUUGCAGCCUUGAGGGAUGCCACCUCCAUAGAAUGCCUGAUCCUGAUGAGGAAAAGAAAGAAAAGGAGUAGAGAGGAAAUGUUCAGUGAGAUCCUGCAAGUCAGUUGCUGCAUCAAACCAUGAACAAAGGGCCUGGAUGCCAACAUGGCAGACAGCUUGGAGAAGAAAAAAGCAGAUAGGAGAAAGGCCCAGGAAAUCCAGCAGGAAAAGGUGAAGGAGA
Long non-coding RNA from Mauremys reevesii (Reeves's turtle), 627 nucleotides. RefSeq lists it as uncharacterized. NCBI's taxonomy places the organism in Eukaryota, Metazoa, Chordata, Testudines, Geoemydidae. The transcript is spliced from 5 exons. The record is from RefSeq and is a predicted model, not a curated record.